RNAcentral lists this ribosomal RNA (235 nucleotides) under uncultured Candidatus Saccharibacteria bacterium. Its description in RNAcentral is "partial 16S ribosomal RNA". It matches the Rfam family "Bacterial small subunit ribosomal RNA", at positions 584 to 818 of the family's 1533-position model. The record is from RNAcentral. Lineage: Bacteria; Candidatus Saccharimonadota.
UAAGUCUGAUGUGAAGCCCUGGGCUCAACCAUACAGGCUAUUAUCCGAACUGGCUAACUCGAGAAUGGUAGAGGUAACUGGAAUUUCUUGUGUAGGAGUGAAAUCCGUAGAUAUAAGAAGGAACACCAAUGGCGUAGGCAGGUUACUGGACCAUUUCUAACGCUAAGGCACGAAAGCGUGGGGAGCGAACCGGAUUAGAUACCCGGGUAGUCCACGCUGUAAACGAUGGAUACUG